CGGGGACCCGCACAAGCGGUGGAGUAUGUGGCUUAAUUCGAUGCAACGCGAAGAACCUUACCUGGCCUUGACAUGCAUCUCUAAUCCGGUGAAAGCCGGUGAGUGUAGCAAUACACAAUUUGCACAGGUGCUGCAUGGCUGUCGUCAGCUUGUGUCGUGAGAUGUUGGGUUAAGUCCCGCAACGAGCGCAACCCCUGUGAACUGUUGCCAUGGAGACGUGAGUCUCCGGCACUCUGUUCAGACUGCCCUGUUCAACGGGGAGGAAGGUGGGGACGACGUCAAGUCAGUAUGGCCCUUACGGCCAGGGCUGCACACGUACUACAAUGCCCGAAACAGAAGGAUCCGAGACCGCGAGGUGGAGGAAAUCACUAAAUUCGGGCCCAGUUCGGAUUGGAGGCUGCAACUCGCCUCCAUGAAGCCGGAAUCGCUAGUAAUGGCGCAUCAGCUACGGCGCCGUGAAUACGUUCCCGGGUCUGUACACACCGCCCGUCACAUCAUGGGAGUCGUUUGUACCCGA
RNAcentral lists this ribosomal RNA (517 nucleotides) under uncultured Verrucomicrobium sp. Its description in RNAcentral is "bacterial SSU rRNA". It matches the Rfam family "Bacterial small subunit ribosomal RNA", at positions 914 to 1424 of the family's 1533-position model. Lineage: Bacteria; Pseudomonadati; Verrucomicrobiota; Verrucomicrobiia; Verrucomicrobiales; Verrucomicrobiaceae. The record is from RNAcentral.